UUGCACCACAUGUGUUUUUCUUUGAAACAAACUUGCUUUGGCGGUGGGCCCAGCCUGCCGCCAGAGGUCUAAACUUACAACCAAUUUUUUAUCAACUUGUCACACCAGAUUAUUACUAAUAGUCAAAACUUUCAACAACGGAUCUCUUGGUUCUCGCAUCGAUGAAGAACGCAGCGAAAUGCGAUACGUAAUAUGAAUUGCAGAUAUUCGUGAAUCAUCGAAUCUUUGAACGCACAUUGCGCCCUCUGGUAUUCCGGAGGGCAUGCCUGUUUGAGCGUCGUUUCUCCCUCAAACCGCUGGGUUUGGUGUUGAGCAAUACGACUUGGGUUUGCUUGAAAGACGGUAGUGGUAAGGCGGGAUCGCUUUGACAAUGGCUUAGGUCUAACCAAAAACAUUGCUUGCGGCGGUAACGUCCACCACGUAUAUCUUCAAACUUUGACCUCAAAUCAGGUAGGACUACCCGCUGAACUUAAGCAUAUCAAUAAGCGGAGGAAAAGAAACCAACAGGGAUUGCCUCAGUAGCGGCGAGUGAAGCGGCAAAAGCUCAAAUUUGAAAUCUGGCGUCUUUGGCGUCCGAGUUGUAAUUUGAAGAAGGUAUCUUUGGGCCCGGCUCUUGUCUAUGUUCCUUGGAACAGGACGUCACAGAGGGUGAGAAUCCCGUGCGAUGAGAUGACCCGGGUCUGUGUAAAGUUCCUUCGACGAGUCGAGUUGUUUGGGAAUGCAGCUCUAAGUGGGUGGUAAAUUCCAUCUAAAGCU
Molecule: ribosomal RNA, 756 nt
Filed under: Candida albicans
Lineage: Eukaryota; Fungi; Ascomycota; Pichiomycetes; Serinales; Debaryomycetaceae
Description: eukaryotic LSU rRNA
Rfam family: Eukaryotic large subunit ribosomal RNA (bases 437-756)
Source: RNAcentral